UACGUAGGGGGCAAGCGUUGUCCGGAUUUAUUGGGCGUAAAGAGCGUGUAGGCGGCCAAGUAAGUCUGCUGUGAAAACUCGAGGCUUAACCUCGAGCUGUCGGCGGAAACUAUUUGGCUAGAGUCCGGAAGAGGAGAAUGGAAUUCCCGGUGUAGCGGUGAAAUGCGCAGAUAUCGGGAAGAACACCCGUGGCGAAGGCGGUUCUCUGGGACGGUACCGACGCUGAGACGCGAAAGCGUGGGGAGCGAACAGG
This 253-nucleotide ribosomal RNA is filed under the name uncultured bacterium. RNAcentral's name for it is "partial 16S ribosomal RNA". It matches the Rfam family "Bacterial small subunit ribosomal RNA", at positions 524 to 776 of the family's 1533-position model. The record is from RNAcentral.